GACGAACGCUGGCGGCAUGCCUAAUACAUGCAAGUCGAGCGAACAGAUGAAGUGCUUGCACUUUUGACGUUAGCGGCGAACGGGUGAGUAACACGUAAGGAAUCUACCUAUAAGCGGGGGAUAACAUUCGGAAACGGGUGCUGAUACCGCAUAAUAUCUUCUUCCGCAUGGAAGAAGAUUGAAAGACGGCUCUGCUGUCACUUAUAGAUGACCUUGCGGUGCAUUAGUUAGUUGGUGGGGUGAUGGCCUACCAAGACGAUGAUGCAUAGCCGACCUGAGAGGGUGAUCGGCCACAUUGGGACUGAGACACGGCCCAAACUCCUACGGGAGGCAGCAGUAGGGAAUCUUCCGCAAUGGGCGAAAGCCUGACGGAGCAAUGCCGCGUGAGUGAAGAAGGCCUUCGGGUCGUAAAACUCUGUUAUAUGAGAAGAACAAAUUGUAGAGUAACUGCUACAGUCUUGACGGUAUCUUAUCAGAAAGCCACGGCUAACUACGUGCCAGCAGCCGCAGUAA
RNAcentral lists this ribosomal RNA (513 nucleotides) under uncultured bacterium. RNAcentral's name for it is "partial 16S ribosomal RNA". It matches the Rfam family "Bacterial small subunit ribosomal RNA", at positions 28 to 523 of the family's 1533-position model. The record is from RNAcentral.